GCUUGGGGCCCUUCAGCUUCCCUUCUGGACCUUCAAGGCUCACAUCUGGGACUUCAACAUCCACCUUGGGUCCUGAGACAACAACAUCAGCCUUGGGCAAGUUCACAUCCACUUCUCGGCCCUCUCCUUUGAAGCCAGGCAUGCUAAACUUGGGCAUUUUCAUCUUGGGCAUCUUCAGGUGCCAGUCUGGGCCUUGAACCUCCACAUCUGGGACAUCAAUGUCCAUUUUGGCACUUUUAAGUUCAACAUCAGGAACUUUAAUCUCACUUUC
This 271-nucleotide long non-coding RNA is filed under the name Homo sapiens (human). Its description in RNAcentral is "HSALNT0176219". Lineage: Eukaryota; Metazoa; Chordata; Mammalia; Primates; Hominidae. The record is from RNAcentral.